RNAcentral lists this transfer RNA (68 nucleotides) under Capra hircus (goat). It matches the Rfam family "tRNA". Rfam says of the family: Transfer RNA (tRNA) molecules are approximately 80 nucleotides in length. Their secondary structure includes four short double-helical elements and three loops (D, anti-codon, and T loops). Further hydrogen bonds mediate the characteristic L-shaped molecular structure. tRNAs have two regions of fundamental functional importance: the anti-codon, which is responsible for specific mRNA codon recognition, and the 3' end, to which the tRNAs corresponding amino acid is attached (by aminoacyl-tRNA synthetases). tRNAs cope with the degeneracy of the genetic code in two manners: having more than one tRNA (with a specific anti-codon) for a particular amino acid; and 'wobble' base-pairing, i.e. permitting non-standard base-pairing at the 3rd anti-codon position. RNAcentral also lists the same sequence under 1 other name. Lineage: Eukaryota; Metazoa; Chordata; Mammalia; Artiodactyla; Bovidae. The record is from Rfam by way of RNAcentral.
CCAGGUGGCUCAGUGGUAAAGAAUCUGCCUGCCAAGCAGGAGACCUGGGUUUGAUUCCUGGGUCUGGA